Molecule: long non-coding RNA, 1352 nt
Filed under: Monodelphis domestica (gray short-tailed opossum)
Lineage: Eukaryota; Metazoa; Chordata; Mammalia; Didelphimorphia; Didelphidae
Description: lncRNA (ENSMODG00000051401.1)
Source: RNAcentral
UAAACUAUGUAAGUGCAUAAUCUCUCUGGGAGAACCAUCCAGAAAAAGCCACGUGAAUACACAUAACCCACAUCCACACCACCUCUACAUCCACAGCUGAGACGGUCCAGUGAACUGCCUCCCCUCCUUGGCGGCAAGCAAACAAACAAAUAAAAAGGAUGGAACCAUUUGGGUUAGGAAAGAAGCAAAGCACAUAGGUAAUGAAGGAGAGAAGGGGGCAGGGAGCACUCUCUCCCUCUCCAUUAGCAAGGACCACAGGGACAGCUAAACGCUAAAAGGCAGUACUUUUUCCCUCCAACAGUGUAAAAUGCACAGGCGCAGGCCACAAAUCACUCAGGGAAAUUCAGAAGAAUAUCAGCCAUUUCUAGGAAUGAAAAUAAAAAUAAAUAAUCAUCACCUUUUCUAUAGCUUUAACCCAGUCUCUUUCUCCAUGGGAUCUUUCUCCACAUUUCUCUAACAUCUUAUCCUGGGAGUAUGGAGGGAGGAGAACUUCUCAAUUUAUUUUUUAUUAAAGUUCCUUUAUUAGAGAUCUUUUUACACUGCUGCCAUUUGGCCAUUUACAUUCCCACUCUUGUUCCUCUUAAGAAUGGACAGGGUAGCUCAGUGGAAUGAGGGCUAGAUAUUGGGGGGGGGUGACCUUGGCAAGAACCUGACAUGCUUUUGAGUUCAGCCUUCUCAUCUAUAACAUGAGAAAGGUAGAGCGGAAGACCAAGGUCCUUCCUACUUUUGAAUCUUCAUGUAGUAUCCUCAAAUAGGUGAAGAAAGCGUAUUGUAGUGGCAGCUCUCUCACCGCUGUCCGUACUCUUAGUUCUGAUUCAUUGUUGGAACGAAAUGAGGCACUUGCAAGUCACUGAACAUCUAAGAGAAAAAGGUUUACUUUUCUCUAAUAUAGUUCAAAUAUGCAGCAAGGAUGCAGUAGCAUGUAGCAUCUUUGCAUUCAGUGUGGGUAUUCCCCCCUCCCUAUCUCCAUCUCAUGUUAUAAUAGAAAGAUCACUUGGUUUGGAAUCAGAGGAGCUCCAGUCAAAAUUCAGUGAGCCAUUGUUAAUAAUAAAGAUUUUCAUAAGAGAGCGAGAAGGGGGGGUUGGGAGAGUUCAGCAAAAUGGAUUCACAUUUACUAGCUCAAUGUUCCUAGACAAAUAAUGCCAUGCCUCAUCUAUAACACGAAGGAUUAGAUAAGAUGAUCGUUGUGUUUGGGGGAGAUGGCCAAGGUGGGAGUUUUUGCUUGAAAAUGCACAUUUGUCCCAAGGGUUUUGUUUUUUCCUUUAUUAUCUGCAGGUGGGGAAGGAAGAGAGAAGGGAAAGAAAGAAAACAGAUGAAUAUUAAUUGAAAAAAUAAAACUGAAUUUAAAAUCA